RNAcentral lists this long non-coding RNA (761 nucleotides) under Homo sapiens (human). RNAcentral's name for it is "HSALNT0366841". Lineage: Eukaryota; Metazoa; Chordata; Mammalia; Primates; Hominidae. The record is from RNAcentral.
AGCCUACACCAAGGGAAGAGUCAGGGGAGAAGGAACACAAGACUCCGGAAGCAUGCCAGCGUAUAAAACCGAGCACCUCCCUGCUCCCUGAAUCCCCCAGGAAUGUACCUCUGGAGAGCUCCUGGUUCUCCACUUGGAAGCUGUGUUGGUAGGCUGUGACGGGGCAGGCAUUGCCUUGUAAAGGGCACUCCUGUCUACACGAUCUGUAGAGAAUGCAGAGCUCAGGGACGAUGUACAGCAGCAGGAAAACCCAUGCGUUGGUGACCAGAGCAAUGCAGACGACCGGGUCGUCCCACUGGGGCUGUCGCUGGAACUGCGGGUUGCCUCUCAGGAGCAUGGAGAUCCACACCACCCAGAUGAUGAUGGAGAAGAGCACAGUGAUAAAGAUGAGCCUUCCAUGCUGCUUCCAGUUCUCACACGGGCCACAGAAGGUGGCUUUGGAGACGAAGAAUGUGAGGGCCAUCAGGAAGAGGACAUAGACCAGGAGUACAACAAAGUCCACAUUGAGCUGGCAGGGUGUCAUAUUCACAAACAUCAUACCUCUGGUCAUGAUGAGAGUCACAUACUCAGUGGCAAUAAUGAUUUGCAACAGACUGCAACCAAUAGCAAUGCACAGAAUUGUCGUCCAGGAGAAGGAGACACAACCCCGAACCAGCUUCACUAGAUUGGAGGCAUGAGCUAAGAGGCAUGAGAAACAGAGAGCAAAGAGAACCCCAAAGAGAAAGUAGCGUACGGGGGCAGUUUGUUGAUUGAGCUCGAUG